AUGGAUUACCGUUUCCGUGCCGCGACGCUUCUUUUGAUAAUAAUUAAUUCGUCCUACGUCCAUGCGAGAACGAGCGUUACAAUUUUCUAUGAAACGCACUGUCCGGACAGUCAGAAAUUGAUGAAUGACCAGGUCAUUCCGGCUCUGAAUCGCUUCAAAAAGGACGUCCUCUUCGAGCUUGUACCGUACGGUUUCGCCGAUCAUCGCUUCGCAAAUGGAGGUUUAGCCUUCAAAUGCCAGCACGGUAAGAAAGAAUGCCAAGGAAAUACCCUCCACGCAUGCGCUCUGAAACAUUAUCCACACCAGCGUGAAGACGUGGUCCGUUUCGCAGCCUGUAGCAUGGAUCACGGUCUCGAAGUGCUCAAAUACAUCGACGAGUGUGCUAGAAGCUUCAAGCUCGACCCUGUGAAGAUCAGGGCUUGCGCUGACUCCAGAGAGGGUUCGAAGUUGCUCCAAGAAAUGGGGGAACGAACGGGAGUUGGCGCCCGGAUCUAUUCGCCUACGAGGAGAAAGUUUUCCUUCAUACCUAGCACGUUCAUCGAUGGGCAACCGCAUAUUGAAGAAGCCAUGGCCGAUCUCCCGGGCGCCAUUUGUCGCCAUGCCAUCACGGUCUCAAGAAACUGCUAA
Galendromus occidentalis (western predatory mite) is the source of this 627-nucleotide long non-coding RNA. RefSeq annotates it as GILT-like protein 1. The record is from RefSeq and is a predicted model, not a curated record. The transcript has 6 exons. Lineage: Eukaryota; Metazoa; Arthropoda; Arachnida; Mesostigmata; Phytoseiidae.